ACCCCGAUUAUUGAUUUAUUAAUAUAGGUCACGUAGCUCAAAUGGAUAGAGCAACUGCCUUCUAAGCAGUAGGUCACAGGUUCGAAUCCUGUCGUGAUCA
RNAcentral lists this transfer RNA (100 nucleotides) under Blattabacterium sp. (Cryptocercus punctulatus) str. Cpu. RNAcentral's name for it is "tRNA-Arg". The stretch from base 27 to 100 matches the Rfam family "tRNA". From Rfam's summary of the family: Transfer RNA (tRNA) molecules are approximately 80 nucleotides in length. Their secondary structure includes four short double-helical elements and three loops (D, anti-codon, and T loops). Lineage: Bacteria; Pseudomonadati; Bacteroidota; Flavobacteriia; Flavobacteriales; Blattabacteriaceae. The record is from RNAcentral.